RNAcentral lists this ribosomal RNA (893 nucleotides) under uncultured archaeon. RNAcentral's name for it is "bacterial SSU rRNA". It matches the Rfam family "Archaeal small subunit ribosomal RNA", at positions 50 to 920 of the family's 1478-position model. The record is from RNAcentral.
CAUGCUAGUUGAACAUUUCUUAACUAUGUGAGAAGUGUAGCGUACUGCUCAGUAACACGUGGUCAACCUGCCCUAGAGACGUGUAUAACCCCGGGAAACUGGGACUAAUACGCGAUAGGUCAUAUUUUCUGGAAUGGUUUAUGACAUAAAGGAUAUUUCAAACAUGUUUGAUUUAUUGCUUUAGGAUGGGACUGCGGCCGAUCAGGUUGUUGGUGGGGUAAUGGCCCACCAAGCCGAUUACCGGUGCGGGCUUUGAGAGAAGGAGCCUGGAGAUGGACACUGAGAAAAGGGUCCAGGCCCUACGGGGCGCAGCAGGCGCGAAAACUUCGCAAUGUGCGAAAGCACGACGAGGUUAAUCCGAGUGCAACAUGCUGAAUGUAGCUUUUGAUAAGUGUAAGUAGUUUAUUGAAUAAGGGGAGGGAAAGUCUGGUGUCAGCCGCCGCGGUAAUACCAGCUCCCCGAGUGGUUGGGACGUUUAUUGGGCCUAAAGCAUCCGUAGCCUGUUCUGUAGGUCUUAUGUUAAAACCAAUUGCUUAACAAUUGGACUGCAUGAGAUACCACAAAACUAGGAGGCGGGAGAGGUGGACGGUACUCCACGGGUAGUGGUAAAAUGCUCUGAUCCGUGGAAGACCACCAGUGGCGAAGGCGGUCCACCAGAACGCGCUCGACGGUGAGGGAUGAAAGCUGGGGUAGCGAACCGGAUUAGAUACCCGGGUAGUCCCAGCUGUAAACGAUGCAAGCUAGGUGAUGGAUUAGCCACGUGUUAAUCCAGUGCCGCAGGGAAGCCGUUAAGCUUGCCGCCUGGGGAGUACGGUCGCAAGGCUGAAACUUAAAGGAAUUGGCGGGGGAGCACCACAAGGGGUGAAGCCUGCGGUUCAAUUGGAUCAACGCCG